CAGAAAUGGUUUCAAGCCUCUCGAUCAACAGGACAAAAGAUGGCUACCCCAUUGCUGCCAAAUUACAUCUCUUCAAUUCAAGUGACCAACCAGCAAACGCAGCAGAAUACAGCCUCCAAAUGAAGGUUGUUGUCUUCCAAGUAAUUCCAAGACGCUCAAACGUGUAAAAAUCCUUUUAGGGAAUUACUGGCCAAGUCUUGCUCUCACUGUUUUGCUUUCUGUUGAUCAUUCAUUCAGCAUGUAUUAGACACCUCCCGGGUGCCAAGCACUCUGCCAGGCCCAGGGUAUAGAGUGAGGAGAGAGAAGCAAUCUCAUUGCAUGUUUGAUGAAGGAGCCCCCCGCCCCCGGGGCCGGUGGAAAAAGUUAGCCCAACCUAAGUUUGAAUCCCAGUUUAGCCUGUGCGGGUUGUGUAACCUCAGGCAACUUUCCUAAACCCUUUGAGUCACAAUGUCCUCAUGUCUAAAAUGAAGAUGGUAAAACUGACUUCAUAGGAUUGCUUUGAGGAGAAAAGCAGAUAAAAUGUGUAGUAACUAGCCAUGGCAGAGACCGAUACAGAGCCGUUGCUCAGCCAAUGAGUGUUCCUGUGAUUAUAAUUGUUUGAUUUACAUAGCUAGUUCAACCAUCUCUUUUGGGGGAUUAGACUCUGAAUGCACUUUUGGAAAAAAUCAAACGUUUUAUUAUGUGUAUGUGAGUAAUACAAGGUACAAAAUUCAAAGUGUACAAACAUUAGGCGAUGGAAAUGAAAACUUCUUUCUUCCCUUGCUCCUCUGCUGCUCAUUUUCCUCCCCGGAGAUAACUGGUAUAACCAGGAUCUUGUAUAUUUACAGAUUUAAUUAUAUUUCUUGGAGAUAGGUUCAUAACAAUACAUUGGUUCCUGCUGCAUCA
This is a long non-coding RNA of Myotis davidii, 885 nucleotides long. RefSeq lists it as uncharacterized. NCBI's taxonomy places the organism in Eukaryota, Metazoa, Chordata, Mammalia, Chiroptera, Vespertilionidae. The transcript has 2 exons. The record is from RefSeq and is a predicted model, not a curated record.